This 267-nucleotide long non-coding RNA is filed under the name Junco hyemalis (dark-eyed junco). RNAcentral's name for it is "lncRNA (ENSJHYG00000012328.1)". Lineage: Eukaryota; Metazoa; Chordata; Aves; Passeriformes; Passerellidae. The record is from RNAcentral.
GGAGUGUGCGCUGUGGGCUGGACUGCCUUCAGCAGAGUGAGUCAUGUGUGAGACAGCUCAGCCCUGGCAGUGAGCUUUCCAGGAGAGCCUCUGACCCUCACAGACCUUCCUGAGCUCAGCCAGGAACUCGAGCUCCCUGACCAGCCCAGGGCUGCCAAUGGAUGUACCAAGACAGAACCAGGAUAGCUCCUAUAAGGCUCUUUUCCUAAGACACGCUAAGCAGGUACCCUCUCUAAAAUAUAUUGUUGGAGAAAAAGAAAAAAUUAA